GUAUUCCAUACGGAAUACAUAUACUAAAAUUGGAACGAUACAGAGAAGAUUAGCAUGGCCCCUGCGCAAGGACGACACGCAAAAUCGUGAAGCGUUCCACAUUUUU
Molecule: small nuclear RNA, 106 nt
Filed under: Daphnia pulex (common water flea)
Lineage: Eukaryota; Metazoa; Arthropoda; Branchiopoda; Diplostraca; Daphniidae
Source: RNAcentral